CUUCUGCGUGUACCAAAGCUUCUUUUCAACAACAGAUUGGGUACUUAAACCAGCAUGAUCGAAACCACCCAGAAACAAAACUGUUUUACCAAGCAUUCUGUUCCACCGAGCUAACGAAUCUUGAAUAGCAAUCGUAAGAGCAUGGCCAAUAUGCAAAGCACCAGUGACAUUGGGAGGAGGAGAUGUAAUAACAAAUACGCCCUCUUUCUUAGGUUUACCAUCAGGACCAAACUCGGGUUCAAAGAAACCAGACUUGACCCACCAGUCAUACCAAGCAGACUCAACAGCUUUGGGAUUAUAGGACUUCAAAGCAGGAGAGUCCAAGUCUUGAAGGACUUUUUUCUCACCAGGAGUGGUCUUUUCGACAUACUCGGCAACUGGUGAAGCAAUCUUAGCCUUCUUAUCA
Molecule: non-coding RNA, 406 nt
Organism: Schizosaccharomyces pombe (fission yeast)
Lineage: Eukaryota; Fungi; Ascomycota; Schizosaccharomycetes; Schizosaccharomycetales; Schizosaccharomycetaceae
Source: the annotation of a GenBank genome assembly